UUACUGAGUUUACGCUCUACAACCCUUUGUGAACAUACCUAUAACUGUUGCUUCGGCGGGUAGGGUCUCCGUGACCCUCCCGGCCUCCCGCCCCCGGGCGGGUCGGCGCCCGCCGGAGGAUAACCAAACUCUGAUUUAACGACGUUUCUUCUGAGUGGUACAAGCAAAUAAUCAAAACUUUUAACAACGGAUCUCUUGGUUCUGGCAUCGAUGAAGAACGCAGCGAAAUGCGAUAAGUAAUGUGAAUUGCAGAAUUCAGUGAAUCAUCGAAUCUUUGAACGCACAUUGCGCCCGCCAGCAUUCUGGCGGGCAUGCCUGUUCGAGCGUCAUUUCAACCCUCAAGCUCUGCUUGGUGUUGGGGCCCUACAGCUGAUGUAGGCCCUCAAAGGUAGUGGCGGACCCUCCCGGAGCCUCCUUUGCGUAGUAACUUUACGUCUCGCACUGGGAUCCGGAGGGACUCUUGCCGUAAAACCCCCAAUUUUCCAAAGGUUGACCUCGGAUCAGGUAGGAAUACCCGCUGAACUUAAGCAUAUCAAUAAGCGGAGGAAAAGAAACCAACAGGGAUUGCCUCAGUAACGGCGAGUGAAGCGGCAACAGCUCAAAUUUGAAAUCUGGCCCUAGGCCCGAGUUGUAAUUUGCAGAGGAUGCUUUUGGUGCGGUGCCUUCCAAGUUCCCUAGAACGGGACGCCAGAGAGGGUGAGAGCCCCGUACAGUUGGACACCAAGCCUUUGUAAAGCUCCUUCGACGAGUCGAGUAGUUUGGGAAUGCUGCUCAAAAUGGGAGGUAUAUUUCUUCUAAAGCUAAAUACCGGCCAGAGACCGAUAGCGCACAAGUAGAGUGAUCGAAAGAUGAAAAGCACUUUGAAAAGAGGGUUAAACAGCACGUGAAAUUGUUAAAAGGGAAGCGCUUGUGACCAGACUUGCGUCCGGUGAAUCACCCAGCUCUCGCGGCUGGGGCACUUCGCCGGCUCAGGCCAGCAUCAGCUCGCUGUCGGGGACAAAAGCUUCAGGAACGUAGCUCUCUUCGGGGAGUGUUAUAGCCUGUUGCAUAAUACCCUUCGGCGGGCUG
Molecule: unclassified non-coding RNA, 1068 nt
Filed under: leaf metagenome
Description: partial contains internal transcribed spacer 1, 5.8S ribosomal RNA, internal transcribed spacer 2, and large subunit ribosomal RNA
Rfam family: Eukaryotic large subunit ribosomal RNA (bases 491-1068)
Source: RNAcentral